AUUGAACGCUGGCGGAAUGCUUUACACAUGCAAGUCGAACGGCAGCACGGGGGCAACCCUGGUGGCGAGUGGCGAACGGGUGAGUAAUACAUCGGAACGUGCCCGGUCGUGGGGGAUAACGUAGCGAAAGUUACGCUAAUACCGCAUACGAUCUGAGGAUGAAAGCGGGGGACCUUCGGGCCUCGCGCGAUCGGAGCGGCCGAUGUCAGAUUAGGUAGUUGGUGGGGUAGAGGCCUACCAAGCCGACGAUCUGUAGCUGGUCUGAGAGGACGACCAGCCACACUGGGACUGAGACACGGCCCAGACUCCUACGGGAGGCAGCAGUGGGGAAUUUUGGACAAUGGGCGCAAGCCUGAUCCAGCCAUUCCGCGUGCAGGACGAAGGCCUUCGGGUUGUAAACUGCUUUUGUAUGGAACGAAAAGGCUCUGGCUAAUACCUGGGGCUCAUGACGGUACCGUAAGAAUAAGCACCGGCUAACUACGUG
RNAcentral lists this ribosomal RNA (484 nucleotides) under uncultured bacterium. RNAcentral's name for it is "partial 16S ribosomal RNA". It matches the Rfam family "Bacterial small subunit ribosomal RNA", at positions 30 to 507 of the family's 1533-position model. The record is from RNAcentral.